This 147-nucleotide unclassified non-coding RNA is filed under the name uncultured Fusarium. Its description in RNAcentral is "sequence contains ITS1". Lineage: Eukaryota; Fungi; Ascomycota; Sordariomycetes; Hypocreales; Nectriaceae. The record is from RNAcentral. RNAcentral also lists the same sequence under 1 other name.
CCGAGUUUACAACUCCCAAACCCCUGUGAACAUACCUAUAUGUUGCCUCGGCGGAUCAGCCCGCGCCCCGUAAAACGGGACGGCCCGCCGCAGGAUCCACAAACUCUGUUUUUAUUGUAACUUCUGAGUAACAAAACAAAUAAAUCA